GCUACCUGAUUCAGCGGCGGACGGGUGAGUAAUGCCUAGGAAUCUGCCCGAUAGUGGGGGACAACGUUUCGAAAGGAACGCUAAUACCGCAUACGUCCUACGGGAGAAAGUGGGGGAUCUUCGGACCUCACGCUAUCGGAUGAGCCUAGGUCGGAUUAGCUAGUUGGUGAGGUAAUGGCUCACCAAGGCGACGAUCCGUAACUGGUCUGAGAGGAUGAUCAGUCACACUGGAACUGAGACACGGUCCAGACUCCUACGGGAGGCAGCAGUGGGGAAUAUUGGACAAUGGGCGAAAGCCUGAUCCAGCCAUGCCGCGUGUGUGAAGAAGGUCUUCGGAUUGUAAAGCACUUUAAGUUGGGAGGAAGGGCAGUAAGCUAAUACCUUGCUGUUUUGACGUUACCAACAGAAUAAGCACCGGCUAACUUCGUGCCAGCAGCCGCGGUAAUACGAAGGGUGCAAGCGUUAAUCGGAAUUACUGGGCGUAAAGCGCGCGUAGGUGGUUCAGCAAGUUGGAUGUGAAAUCCACGGGCUCAACCUGGGAACUGCAUCCAAAACUACUGAGCUAGAGUACGGUAGAGGGUGGUGGAAUUUCCUGUGUAG
Molecule: ribosomal RNA, 600 nt
Filed under: uncultured bacterium
Lineage: Bacteria
Description: bacterial SSU rRNA
Rfam family: Bacterial small subunit ribosomal RNA
Source: RNAcentral